Molecule: long non-coding RNA, 2568 nt
Organism: Aegilops tauschii subsp. strangulata
Lineage: Eukaryota; Viridiplantae; Streptophyta; Magnoliopsida; Poales; Poaceae
Source: RefSeq, a predicted model, not a curated record
UACCGUAUUUAUAUAUAUAAAAAAUAGAUUUACAAGAAUCCACACGACGAUGCGAACAUCGACGUGGGAACACCUACUCCACACAUCUACAAAGCUACCGUCUCACAAAACGCUGUAAACCUCCUACACCGUGAAAUGCUAAGUUCCAUUCUCUAAGCUCUUCCAAGAUCAUUUGAGCGAGGUCAGCUGCAACCACCUAUUGUUCCUUUCGGUUGUGAAAAGAUCCCAAGCCAUGCUGAUGACAAGAUUGUCGAAACUCUUCUAUCAUUCGAACGGAAGACUAAUCUCAACGUGAAAUGAUUAGCAUCCAUCUGUGGAUUGCUUCCAAGCGUCAACCGCCUCCAUCUUCCAGAAAAAUCAUGAUCCUAUCGCUCUCGUUUCACCCAGGAACAGUUGCAGAGCCUCGGCUCGCACGAGCAUCGGUUGUGAAAAAACUAUAAAUUACUGCAACUGGACCUCUGUUGCAGAAUAAUUCUGCAACAAGAUCUUUGUUGCGAAAAAUUUAUAAGACUCUUGCCAUGAAAAUUCUGCGGCAAGACCUCUGUUGCAAGGGGAAAUAAAACUCUAACAAGACUUUUGUUGUAAAAAAAUCUGCAACUUAAUCUAUGUUGUAAAAUUUUCUGCAUCAUGACCCGUGUUGCAGAAAAAUUCUAAAACACAACAUAUAUUGCAAUGGUACAUGGUGACGGUCGGCCGCUCGAGAUUUGAGGCUUGCGAGGUGGCGGAUCUUUCGAAAAGAUCCGCCGGCCGACGCGUAGCAGCGCCCAAUUGCAAACCGGUGCCUUUGCCAAUAUAUGGUGUUCAAAAGAAAAUAUAGAGAAAUAUAUGGUCGUUUCUGUGAAUAACAGAAAUAUUGUAGACCGAACUGUAAAUAUUCCAAAGGGAUAGGAUUACCCAAUCCCCGCUUCCUCCAAGCCGCAUGGCCUAUCGCCGGAGAAAUCCGUGCCGCACAGUCAACGCCGCACCGUCGCCGUCGACGGGCGGCCAACAGCCAGCCCGGCCAUGCCUUCGGGUCAGGCAACCGCACGUUGCCAAUGCCGCGCCGGCGCAUAGCCACGCGCUACACCGCCGCACCGCGCCGGGCAGAACCUCCGCUGCGCCAUGGGCCGCCAUGCGACCGGGAGAGCCACGCCAGGAGGUUUGGCUUCCGCCUCGCCUUGCGCGUGGACCGGGCUGCGCACUGAUCACAAGGCCUCGGCCGUGCGCCCGUCGCCUUCGCUGACGCGACGCGGUCGCUGCCGCCACGCUCCGGUGGCGACCAUGCCCGCCGUGCAGCCGUGCUGCGCUGUUGUUGUGGCGUGUGAGGGCGCUCCCGUCCGUUCAGCGAGGCCACCGCUUGGAGCCGCCUCCCCGAGAAGUCCCCGAAGACGGCCGUGGCUCUGUGCCUCGCCUGAAGUACAGAGUAUAUAUACCUCUCGCCGUCACAACAAUUCAGUCACUAGAAGUGGACUCAUCAUGGCAAAGCAGAGCAGCGCAGUACAGAGUAUAUAUACCUCUCGCCGUCACAACAAUUCACAGUCACUGGAAGUGGUCUCAAUCACGGCAAAGCAGGCCAGUGCAUUACAGAGUAUAUAUACCUUUCGCAGUUCAGUCACUAGAAAUGGACUCAUCAUGGCAAAGCAGAGCAGUGUAGUACAGAGUAUAUAUACCUCUCGCCGUCACAACAGUUCAGUCACUAGAAGUGAACUCAUCAUGGCAAAGCAGAGCAGUGCAGUACAGAGUAUAUAUACCUCUCGCCGUCACAACAGUCCAGUCACUAGAAAUGGACUCAGCACAGCAAUGCAGUACAGAGUAUAUAUACCUCUCGCCGUCACAACCAGAUAACGGUGGCCAGGUGGGCCUCCCUGACCUGGAUUAUAUGUGUGCCAUUGGAGGAGCUCGUGGUGUGUGUCAUCGGGUCACAAAUGAUCGAUCAAUGCUGCUGUUGCUGUUGCUGGUACACAUAGCUAAGGUGGAACUAUAUUUAUAGGGUCUCGGGUGAGAAUCUGGACGGAAGAGGGCAAAACAGGCGAGGAGUGUAUGUUAUUCCGGUGUGUCCUUGAUCGGUGAGGAGCUUAUAUUGAACACUUAUCCAGAUUUUGGUAUCCAGAACAUCAAACGGUGGUGCUCUCAUAUGAUGGAUCCCUGACUUCAUCAAAACGUGAAUUGUUUGCUCAGUCACAUGGUCUUUGAGAAGAAAGAGGGAGUACUAAACUACAGCCUUCCAUGGCGUCUGGGCACUGUGAUUCUGGGCACUGUGAUCCUAGGGCGGAGCCACUGCUUGACAUAAUCCAUCUCACGGUAUGUCCAAAAAUGCUGCAGUCUGCAUAAAUGACAUGAUAAUGUUAGUACUAAAUUUUAGAAGAACAAUAUGAGAGCAAAUGAUCAGUGAAAAAAUUGUGUAUGUUCAACUGUAGUACCUGUUGAAGGUUCUAAAAUCCACUGAAAAGCCUGAGGUUCGCAGAAACUUAGCGUACCAUAUACUGGUUUCGUAUGGUACUUGAGGAUCAUCUGCAGGAACACCAAAUAAAGAAACCAUUCUUAGUGCUGACAAGGAACUUAACAUGAGUAUUCCCUAAAAAAAGGAAC